This 250-nucleotide ribosomal RNA is filed under the name uncultured bacterium. Its description in RNAcentral is "partial 16S ribosomal RNA". It matches the Rfam family "Bacterial small subunit ribosomal RNA", at positions 524 to 772 of the family's 1533-position model. The record is from RNAcentral.
UACGAAGGGGGCUAGCGUUGCUCGGAAUCACUGGGCGUAAAGGGUGCGUAGGCGGGUCUUUUAAGUCAGGGGUGAAAUCCUGGAGCUCAACUCCAGAACUGCCUUUGAUACUGAAGAUCUUGAGUUCGGGAGAGGUGAGUGGAACUGCGAGUGUAGAGGUGAAAUUCGUAGAUAUUCGCAAGAACACCAGUGGCGAAGGCGGCUCACUGGCCCGAUACUGACGCUGAGGCACGAAAGCGUGGGGAGCAAC